AUUGAACGCUGGCGGCAUGCCUUACACAUGCAAGUCGAACGGCAGCACGGGUGCUUGCACCUGGUGGCGAGUGGCGAACGGGUGAGUAAUACAUCGGAACAUGUCCUGUAGUGGGGGAUAGCCCGGCGAAAGCCGGAUUAAUACCGCAUACGAUCUACGGAUGAAAGCGGGGGACCUUCGGGCCUCGCGCUAUAGGGUUGGCCUAUGGCUGAUUAGCUAGUUGGUGGGGUAAAGGCCUACCAAGGCGACGAUCAGUAGCUGGUCUGAGAGGACGACCGGCCACACUGGGACUGAGACACGGCCCAGACUCCUACGGGAGGCAGCAGUGGGGAAUUUUGGACAAUGGGCGAAAGCCUGAUCCAGCAAUGCCGCGUGUGUGAAGAAGGCCUUCGGGUUGUAAAGCACUUUUGUCCGGAAAGAAAUACUUGGCCCUAAUACGGUCGGGGGAUGACGGUACCGGAAGAAUAAGCACCGGCUAACUACGUG
This 486-nucleotide ribosomal RNA is filed under the name uncultured bacterium. RNAcentral describes it as "partial 16S ribosomal RNA". It matches the Rfam family "Bacterial small subunit ribosomal RNA", at positions 30 to 507 of the family's 1533-position model. The record is from RNAcentral.